This 333-nucleotide ribosomal RNA is filed under the name uncultured bacterium. RNAcentral's name for it is "bacterial SSU rRNA". It matches the Rfam family "Bacterial small subunit ribosomal RNA", at positions 8 to 334 of the family's 1533-position model. The record is from RNAcentral.
AGGGUUUGAUCAUGGCUCAGGAUGAACGCUAGCGGCAGGCUUAACACAUGCAAGUCGAGGGGCAGCGGAUGAGUAGCAAUACUUAUGCCGGCGACCGGCGGAAGGGUGCGUAACGCGUGAGCAACAUACCUAUAACAGGAGGAUAAUCCAGGGAAACUUGGUCUAAUACUCCAUAGAAUUAUUUAGAGGCAUCUUUAGAUAAUUAAAGCUGAGGUGGUUAUAGAUUGGCUCGCGUGACAUUAGCUAGAUGGUAAGGUAACGGCUUACCAUGGCGACGAUGUCUAGGGGUUCUGAGAGGAAGGUCCCCCACACUGGAACUGAGACACGGUCCAG